This 252-nucleotide long non-coding RNA is filed under the name Aquilegia coerulea. Its description in RNAcentral is "long non-coding RNA (ACOE_LNC000265)". Lineage: Eukaryota; Viridiplantae; Streptophyta; Magnoliopsida; Ranunculales; Ranunculaceae. The record is from RNAcentral.
CAAAAUUUAGAAAAUUUAGAAAAUUGUUUUUUUUUUUUUUUUCAUUUGUUUAGAGAAUGAUUGCUCUGUGUUAAUCAAUGCCUGAAGCCUUGCAAUCUGCCAUUCCCAUAUGACCAUGGCAAUGGCAUGCAACUUUUUCCGGAGCAAUGGGCCUCUCUAUCUAAUGCUCAUUUCCUCUGCAGGUGCAGCUGCCAUAUCUGGUAGUAUAGUAUUGCCGGAAUACUCUAUUUUCGACCAGAGAAGAAUAUGAUC